This 841-nucleotide ribosomal RNA is filed under the name Panorpodes paradoxus. RNAcentral's name for it is "partial 16S rRNA". The record is from RNAcentral. Lineage: Eukaryota; Metazoa; Arthropoda; Insecta; Mecoptera; Panorpodidae.
GAAGGUGUAUCUAGAAAGACAAAUUGGAGCUUGAAAAGUAAAGCAUUUCAUUUACAUUGAAAAGUAUAUUGUGUAAUUCAAUUUAAUUUGAUGAUAGUAAAAAUUUAUUAAUUUUUUUUUGUUUAAAAAUUUAUUUAAUAAAAUUAAUUUUAAAUUAAUUUUUUUUUUGUAUAAUAUAUAGAUCAAAUAAUUUAUAUAAUAGUUAAUUAGUAUUGUAAAAGAAUAUUGAAAUAUAUGAAAAGAUUUUAAGUUAAAAGUAAAUUUUAUAUAUUGUACCUUGUGUAUCAGGGUUUAUUAAUUAAAAGUUGAAAAUUUAAUUUUUCUCGAAUUUAAGAGAGUUAGUUUAUUAUUUAAUUUUUUGUUUCAUAAAAAUUUAAAAUAAUAAAUUAGAAAUGAAAUGUUAUUCGUUCUUAAAUAUAUCUAGUUUUUUAAGAAAUAAAUUAAAUUUAGAUUAUUAAUAGAUAAUUAUUUAUUUAAAUAAUAAAUUAUUAUUAAUAAUUAAUAUUUUAAGGGAUAAGCUUUAAAGUAAGUUUUAUAAUAAUUUUUUAAUUUAAAAAUUAUAGGUUUAGAAAUAGUCAUUAAUUAUAAAAAUGUUAUAAUUUAUUUUAAAUUAAAAAUAAUUUUUAUUAAUUUAAAUUUUUAUUAAAAUAAUUUUUAAAAUUAUAUAAGAAUUAAAAUAAUGAUAAAAUUAGUAUAUUUAAUUGUUUUAAAUAAAUAAGUUGAAAGGUUAAAUUAAGGAACUUGGCAAAUAAAUACUCGCCUGUUUAACAAAAACAUGUCUUUUUGAAUAUAAUUUAAAGUCUAAUCUGCCCACUGAAAAAUUUUAAAGGGCCGCGGUAUU